GACAGAGGGGGCAAGCGUUGCUCGGAAUUACUGGGCGUAAAGGGCGCGUAGGCGGGAUGGCAAGUCGGUCGUGAAAUCCCUCGGCUCAACUGAGGAUCGUCGAUCGAUACUGCCGUUCUUGAGGAUUGCAGAGGAGACUGGAAUUCCCGGUGUAGCGGUGAAAUGUGUAGAGAUGUGGAGGAACACCGAUGGCGAAGGCAGCCUCCUGGGCCAGCACUGACGCUCAUGCACGAAAGCGUGGGGAGCAAACAGG
RNAcentral lists this ribosomal RNA (253 nucleotides) under uncultured bacterium. RNAcentral's name for it is "partial 16S ribosomal RNA". It matches the Rfam family "Bacterial small subunit ribosomal RNA", at positions 524 to 776 of the family's 1533-position model. The record is from RNAcentral.